CCUACGGGUGGCAGCAGUGGGGAAUAUUGGACAAUGGGCGAAAGCCUGAUCCAGCCAUGCCGCGUGUGUGAAGAAGGCCUUCGGGUUGUAAAGCACUUUCAGUGGGGAGGAAAGCUUUGGGGCUAAUACCCUCGAGGAAGGACAUCACCCACGGAAGAAGCACCGGCUAACUCCGUGCCAGCAGCCGCGGUAAUACGGAGGGUGCGAGCGUUAAUCGGAAUUACUGGGCGUAAAGCGCGCGUAGGCGGUCUGAUAAGCCGGUUGUGAAAGCCCCGGGCUCAACCUGGGAACGGCAUCCGGAACUGUCAGGCUAGAGUGCAGGAGAGGAAGGUAGAAUUCCCGGUGUAGCGGUGAAAUGCGUAGAGAUCGGGAGGAAUACCAGUGGCGAAGGCGGCCUUCUGGACUGACACUGACGCUGAGGUGCGAAAGCGUGGGUAGCAAACAGGAUUAGAUACCCCGGUAGUC
Molecule: ribosomal RNA, 465 nt
Filed under: Vreelandella stevensii
Lineage: Bacteria; Pseudomonadati; Pseudomonadota; Gammaproteobacteria; Oceanospirillales; Halomonadaceae
Description: partial 16S ribosomal RNA
Rfam family: Bacterial small subunit ribosomal RNA
Source: RNAcentral